GCUGAGCUCGGUGCUGGGGUAGAGGGUCUCUGGGCAGGACUCCCAGCUGGAUGCCGGAGAGGCCAGCCACGGGUGGGGCGUUCUGGGACAUGCCAGGCUCAUGAGUUGCCCCAGCUGGGUGCUUGGCACUGAACUCAGUGAUUAAAAAUAACCGCCCGGCGCCUGGGCUUCCAGGCCAAGGUCCAGGGAGGCUUGGGGCGACAGCUGCAGCCCAUCCUCACCCCUUCCAGCAGCCCUGACACUGGCGGCUCCAGGCCUGGAGGAAGGAGCGGCGCACUCAGAAGGCCGCGCCCGCAUCUCAUCCCCUCCAGCGCGGGGGUGGGAAGAAGAGGGAUCCCUCCUCACCCACCACGCUCAUACCCAAGGGCCCUGGAGGGCGUCCUCACAGGCAGGACCCUGGACCCCCAAGCACACACAGCCUGAUUCCGACCCGGAGAUUGCCCGCUACCGCCCCCGCCCCCGCCAGGCCCGGGAGGACUCACACCACCAGGGAAGAGAUUUGGAGCUUCCACCCUGUCCUCGUCAUGACUGGGGAUUUCAGAAGCUGACGUCAUCGGGGUUGGGGGAAGGCUUGGGAUUGUCACCAGAUCUCCCUCCCUCACUCUCCUGCCGGCCUCCUCCUCAGCCCUCCUUUCACACAGCCAACACUCAGGGGUGACAUCACACUUAGGAAGUCUCAUCAACCUGAGCACACAAGGGAAGGUGGCCUUUCAGGGUCUCACAACGUGGUAUGGAGAAGAGCUUGAGGCUGGAAGGCAUCGUGUCAGCAAGCCCCCCGCCCUUACACAAGCAGCGCAUCGGGUGGAGCCAUACCAGGUCUCUCCACUCCCCACAGGGAGUUCCAGGCUUUAUGGUGGGGCCUGUUUGUCCUCUGAGGGAUCCCCCAGACACCAGGGCCAGACCCCUCCUGGGGGCUCCCUCAGGACCACUAUAUCCAGACCAAUAGCUGGGUCAUGACAUCAGUUACUGAGUUACAACCAGCAUAUAGAAAAUGAGAGAAAAUAUCAGAGGGGUGUUUAAGUAAGAGUACGCACGGCUUUGUGAAACUUUUGUUUUAAAUAUGAGUGUGUGUAUGACAUUAUGAUAGAAUAUAUUUCUUCCUCAG
Molecule: long non-coding RNA, 1105 nt
Organism: Manis pentadactyla (Chinese pangolin)
Lineage: Eukaryota; Metazoa; Chordata; Mammalia; Pholidota; Manidae
Exons: 2
Source: RefSeq, a predicted model, not a curated record